UUUUAAACCUGCUUGCCACCAAAAGCGUUCAUGCGGUGACGUGAAACGCCAAAUACCAGAGUCUCCCGUCUUGGAGUUUAUGGGCCAAUUUCUCCCAAGAUGAGUGAGCUUGUUGUGCUGCCGCCAGUGGACUCGCCAGAGGCCGGCCAGCCCGGAGUGACAGCGACUUGGUGUCUGGAAGCCCCACUGGGUUGUGAAAUGAACAAGGCCCUCCAUGCCCCCCCGGAUCAGACCCGUGUGAGCCCCGGGGGGCUCUGGGAGCGAGCAUCUCCCAGCUCCUAAAGAGCUGACAUAUAUCCUGCCUUUAAGACAAGACUACAAUUGCAAAUCCGAGAAUAUAAAUUACACUUUCAUCUUU
Molecule: non-coding RNA, 358 nt
Organism: Urocitellus parryii (Arctic ground squirrel)
Lineage: Eukaryota; Metazoa; Chordata; Mammalia; Rodentia; Sciuridae
Source: RefSeq, a predicted model, not a curated record